This 96-nucleotide transfer RNA is filed under the name Micromonospora sp. NBRC 101691. RNAcentral describes it as "tRNA-Ser". Lineage: Bacteria; Bacillati; Actinomycetota; Actinomycetes; Micromonosporales; Micromonosporaceae. The record is from RNAcentral.
AGGGCGGGAGCAGCAUCGGCUGGUACCGGGGGCCGCUGGCGCCCGGUCCGACGGACGCGGGGCCGGUGGUCCCGGUACGGACCGGGGACGCCCUGC